AUGGUGAAUUAUUUAGCAUUGCUAUGUAAUACUGAAUGGACCUUUCCUUCUUCACCUCCCACCACUUCAAUUUGUUUUAGUCUGAAAUUCAGCAGCCCACCAACUUCUGCAGCAAAGUUGUGGCUCAAAGUUCCUACCCUGUGCUUUUAUUUCCUAGUGGUAAUUAUUUCCCACUGACUCAGAUGGAAGGACAGCGUGGAUGCCUGACAGACACAGAACAUCAGACUUCUCACCCUGAAAAAUACUGUACAAAGUGCAUAAUGGAAAACUUGAGCUGUGUGGAAACAAAGAUACAACUAGUUGACUUUGUUACAUAAAUCACAUGAUCCAGCCAUAAGAAUCCUUCCUUUCAAAGGCUUGCAUGCUACUUUUGAUGCUUGCUCUGGUUAGAAGACCUUCUCCCACUUCUACCCCUCCCACUUUAUAAUAAGUAACCUUUCAUCUUUUUUAGUUUUGUGUCUUUCCCCUCAUGUACUUUCUUAAACUUUAACUUCUCUUCUUCAUUAAAUACUAUCAAACCUAAUGAGUUUUGAUUAUUUAACAAAUGAAACAGUAGCAAAGAAGCAUACUCGUAUCAAACUUUUCUUAAUAUAUACUAUUCCUAGCAUUGUGCAGCAUCACUUUACUUGAAAACUUUGAGACCUG
RNAcentral lists this long non-coding RNA (645 nucleotides) under Phasianus colchicus (ring-necked pheasant). Its description in RNAcentral is "lncRNA (ENSPCLG00000022014.1)". Lineage: Eukaryota; Metazoa; Chordata; Aves; Galliformes; Phasianidae. The record is from RNAcentral.